Molecule: non-coding RNA, 204 nt
Organism: Vicia faba (fava bean)
Lineage: Eukaryota; Viridiplantae; Streptophyta; Magnoliopsida; Fabales; Fabaceae
Source: the annotation of a GenBank genome assembly
AUGAAACAGAGAAGGAUACGUCUGCUAUGUAACCUGGCUCAAAUAACAACUGUUUUCUUAACUGGAAACAAGCUGUCUUCUAAAUUAGAAGCAACAUACAGUUCACUUUGUGAAGAACUUCAGAACAGAUCGAUGUGCCCCAGAUGUCAUCUGAACAAUUUGGAGGCUUUAACUACUGUUUUGCACCAAAAUGAGGAAAACUAA